Equus caballus (horse) is the source of this 5550-nucleotide long non-coding RNA. RefSeq lists it as uncharacterized. Lineage: Eukaryota; Metazoa; Chordata; Mammalia; Perissodactyla; Equidae. The record is from RefSeq and is a predicted model, not a curated record.
CCAGGCUGGGCCCGCCCCCCACAGCCUCCGCGUGACCUCUAGCUCCCACGUGUCCUCACAGGUGGCCCCUUUGCUCUGAGCCUGCAGUCCCCAAUUCUGUCCCUGACUGGGGCCUCAGGCGCCCCCAGCCCCUCUAUUCUCAGCCCUUCAUCACCCCAAGCUUAAGUCCUCUCCCUGGGAGCCCCCUGUCCACCAGCCCCGUGUCCUGCCUGGAUACCACCACCGCCCUGAACUGUCUCUCCGCCUCCCCUUUGGCUGCCUUUUGGCCCGUUUCAUCACUCAGCAGCCAGAGUGGAACAUCUCAAGCAUCCAUCAGACCACAACACAGCCCUGCAGAGUUCAAAAGCUUCCCAGCAGCCGUGGAACAGAGCACAGGGCCCUGUGAGCUAGAUGCUGCCUGCCUGUCUGUCCUCAUCUCCUGCUGCCUGCCUCGCUCCUCCCUCCAGCCACACUGGCCUCGGGGCUAUUUGACAGGCCAGGCUCACAGCCACCAUGGGGCCUUCGCUCUGGCUGUCCCCUUGGCCUGUCUUGAGGUCUUCCUCGCGCCCUUGCUUCACGCGAGUCCCUGCUCAAAUGUCAUCUUUGAAGGACUUCCCUGUCCUGCCUGCCUCUCCAGUCACUCUCGGCUCCUCUCUGUGCUUUAUUCUCCAUGGCAGUGAUCACCUGACACAAUACCGUCUGUAAUGUCACCUCUGUUUUCACUAUCUUUUGCUGCUGUCUUGCUGGUGCCUGGCACAGUGCCUGGCCCACUUUAGCUAUCAUUUAGUAAACUACUUAUUUGUAAAUACUUAAUAUUUAUAUUAAAUAUUUAGUAAAUAAUAGCCAUUUAGUAAAUACAUAAUUGUUCAACGAAUGAAUGAAUGAAUACACACUCCUCUUUCCCUCCAAAGGGGCAUGAAGUUCCAUGCUCACUCCAUGCUCGAGGGCAGUAAGCAUUGUGGGGUGGGAGUCAUGGGGCCAGGCUUCUUGAUGCACUGUGUGACCCUGAGUGAGUCAUAUAGCGGCUGAUUUCUAGUUGUAGGAAUAGUGAAUGAGAAAGUAUUUAACUAUAUAGACAUAAAACUCUGAAUGAGGUAUAAACUGGGUUUGAAUCCUGGCUCCACCACCUGCCAGCUGUGUGACCUUGGGCAAUGUACCUAACCUCUCUGUGCUUCUGUUUCCUCAUCUUUGAAAUGGGACUAAAACAGCUCCGUUGAAUCAGUCAGGUUCUUGGUCUCAAUCCAGAAUCCUAAUGGGCUACGAGGGUUCUCUCACAGGCUCAAAAGGAAGGUGGAGAGCCCAAAACCAAGCUGAGCAGGCCACAGGAAAAAAAAUCCUCUGGAACGUGCUCCUGGCACAGCCAGCUCUGGACCUUGGGGCCACAGACCCUGCCGGCCUUCCCUGAGGAGACAGACUCCCAGGUGGGUGCCUCUGACGGCUGAGGCUCAGGUCCCAGCCAGGCCAGGAAGCAGACGGAGGCUGGCCCCAGGUCCCAUGGAGGGGAGCCCAUCCCAGCGCAGGCCGGGGCUGCGUGAGGGUUAAGGCUUCAUGCAGAACUCUCGUGCCCCGCUGGUGGCAACCCUGGGAAGGUGUCUGGUGGAAUCCACUGGAGUUAGCAUAUGCUCUCCUACCACCCAGUGGUGCCAAAUGGGUGCGUGUGUCCACCAGAAGGUGUGGGCGACAAUGUCGAUGGCAGCGCUAUGCAGAAUGGCCCCAACCGGAAAACACAAAGUGCCCGUCCACAGUGGAUGCUCGAGAAAAGAAGCACCUGGAACUCUAUACAGCCGUGAGAAAGCAAACCACAGCCCCGGAGCCACCGCGGAUAACUGACCAACACGCCACAGGGAGGAAGCCAGCGCGACGCCAGGUCAGCCGUGUGAGGUUGCACCCCGCUCAAAGCCCGGUACAAGGAGCGGGCACUGUCAGAAGCCAGGAGGGGGUCCCUCGAAGGGUGGAGACAGAGCGUCGGGGGCUGUGAACGGUCACUCUCCUGAUCUGGGCACCGGCGGGCCCUGCGUGUCCACUUUGUGAAGCGUCCUUGAGUUCUUCACUUACGAGUCCGUAUUUUCCUCUAGGCUGGUUACGCUUCAAUAAAAGUAACAAAAGGGUUUAAGAAAAAAACUAAUCCAUGGGAAGCGUUUGGGGUUGUGCCCAGCCCGUGGUGGGAGCUGAAUCAAUGUUAGGUCCUUGUUGCCACCCGUGUCCUGUCGCUGGUGGGUCUCUCUCACCCUCCAUUCCCCCUCCCCAUCCCCCAGGCUGGAAGAGACCCCAGCGUUCGCGGCCCUCAGAUCUGUGUGCAGACAGAGCAGGUGCCGCCAGCCCAGGGCUCCCGGCCCUUGUGGAGCUGGGGACAGACUCCUGGGUCAGCACUUCAGCUCAUUCAUCAGGGAAUCGGCCAGUUACCUUAGGGCCAGGAGGGGAGCAAGUCCUCAGAUGAAGGGCUGGCGAGCAGCUGAGAGCAGGUGUGGACACAGGGCAGGUUAUGGGAGCCAGGCCCCGUGAGCCGGGCAUGGGCCGGAGUCCGUCCUGAGGAUGGCAGGAAGCCAGUGUGCGUCUGGGGGCGGGAGGGGCACGAGGGAGGGUGGUCACGUGUCCAGUUGUGCCCCCUGGCUUUGGUGUGGAGAAUGAGUGAAAAGGGAGAAAAACAAAUUCCAGGAGCCCGAUUAGGAGCUUUGGUGGCCGAGAGCAGGUCAGGGUGGGACGUGGAGAUGGGGAGAAGUGGAGGACUGGUGGGACAUUCUGGGGUUAGAAGGGCCAGGGCCUGGGGGUUGGCGUCCAGAGGGGACGGAGGCGUGGGAAGGGUGAGGCAGGCCCCGCCCAGGGUGGGGCAGCCUGUGGACACAGGGCCCUGCUCCGUGGGUCCAGGAGGAGCAGGAUGGGGGCGGGCUGAGAGUCAGGUUUGGGAGCAGAGUAGGAAGAUCCGAGAGCCGUGGACAAAGCCUGUGGAGGUUGGUCAGGGAGGGAAGGGGAGCCGUGUGCAGAGAGCUGUGUGCAGGGAGGCCGCCAGGUUGGGGAGGGUGGGCCCUGCCCGGAGGGUUUCUGCAGCUCAGUGGAAGGUCGGGCAGGGGUGACAAGGGGUGGUACACAGAGUGGGCUGGGGCCAAGGAUGACAGAUGCGGGGCCUGGAGGGCUGAGCUAGUCCGUAAAUUUCCAAAACAGUGACCUGGGCAAUGGUAAAUGGGGGUCCCUGGCCUCUGGGGAGGAGGGACCGCAGUCCAGGGUGCUGUGCCUGAGACCACAGGGUGGGUCCUGUGUGGAGCCCUUGUGCGGUCUCCAACGCAUCGAAGGGGCUGAGCAGCAAUGACAAUAACAACAGUGACAGCAGCUGUGCUAGACUCUACGACUGCUCGGCUGUCUGUUGGCUCUCGGGGGGGCCUGGCGCUCCCCUCACCUUUGACGUCAGGCUUGGCUGCCUGCUUGCUUUGCUCAAUGCCCUGAGCAUGAGCGAGUUGCCCCACUUCUAAGAAGAAACUUCUAGAGUCACGGGAAGGUGCUGCUGUGUUUACUUCUCUCUGCUGGGAGACCAGCCGUGUCCCAGAUGAGGGCGGUUCCUUUAACCUGGGUCACGGGGUGGAGCUGACUUGGUGCAGAGCUGCAUCCAACCCAUGGCAGACACGUCGUGUGAACAAGAAAGAAACCUUGUUGUAGGCCGCUAGGAUUCGGGAGCUGUUUGUCACUGCAGCAUAACACAGCCUCAGCUGACCGCUACAGCGACGCCCGGACUUGCGUGUUACCUCUGCCCCAGGCACCGUGAGGUUAAUCCUAAAACAACUCUGCCAGCAAAAGCAGCAAAGGGGCACACCGUGUUAUUCCACGUAUAUAAAAUUCUAGACAACGUAAACUAGUCUAUAGUGACAGGAAGCAGAUCAGUGGCUGCCUAGGGACCGGGUAGGGAAGAGGGGGGCCAGAGGGAGGGACUGAAAGGGGCACAAGGACUCUUUUGGGGUGAUGGAUCUAAUUGUGGAGACGGUUUGUCACAGCCAGGACACAGAGCCUGACACUUAACAGCCACUGACCACACCCCAAAAUUAUCCCCAAAAUUACCAGUGAUGGACAUGGGGUCUGGCCUAACCCUUUCCUGAAACCUCCGGCCGGGUGCAGACCCAGGCCCCCCAGAAGCCUGGAAUGGGCUUCGGUGACCACCAGGCCCAUGGCCCCACUUCUCCCGUGGACAGCCAGUCUCGGGGGCCACGUCCUGUGCAGAUCUGAGUGCCAGGGAGAGGACAGACCUGUCUCCUGUGACCUCAGCCAAGGCAGGUGGGCCUCUUCUCAAAAGAGCCUGGGGCCAUGCUGGGCUGGUGGAGGCCUCAGCCUCCAGAGGGCUCCAAGGAGGCCAGUUCCAGGAAUGCUGCAGCCUGAGGGUCCCCUAGGUCCCUGAGCUGGAAGGCGCCAGCCUGUCUGGUGUCUGGGGUUUCACAGAAGGGAAUUCUAGAAAUGGUCUCAGGCUGUCGGAGCUAGAGGAGGAAGCUCCGGGAGGCGAGAGGAGAUGAAACAGGUCUCCAGGGCCCAGGAGGGUGAGGCCCCCAAGGCGGGUGGAAGGACGUCUUGAUUUUCUCUCUGAUGCUGGAGGUGGGGGAGGCUGUGAUGCGGGUGUGGGGUGAGAGGUGGCCUGCUCUAGGUGAGCCAGGUGGGGAGGGGACGGAGGCUGGCCCGGGAGAGGCCUAGGGGCUGAGGAAGACUGCAGGGCCCUGCUGGGUGAGGUGGUUGAGUGGUGGCCCUGGAGAAGAUAUGUCCCCGUCCUAACCCCCAGAGCCAGCGAAUGGGGGCUCAUUUGGGAAGAGGGUGUUUGUGUCAUCAAGUUAAGGAUCUGGGACGAGAUCAUCUUGGAGUGCUCGGGCGAGCCCCAACGCCUGGUACAAGCGUCUUUGUAAGAGAUGCACAGCGGAGAAGCCCACAUCACCACGGAGGCAGAGGUGGGAGUGCUGCAGCCACAGGCCACGACGCCUGGCACCCCCAGGAGCUGGCAGAGGCACGGAACGACCUGCCCCGCAGGCUCCGCCGGGAGCGUGGCCCUGACAACCCUGGGUUUCAGACUUCUGGCCCCAGACGCAGCUCUCUGAGGGAUUGUCCCCGUUUGACAGUGAGGAGGUGAAGGCUUGGGGUCCGUCACCACCUGGGGUCAGUUGCCCAGCGUUAUUUUAAUGGUUUGGUGGUCGCUGCAGAAAUAGUAUACGUUUGUUCCAUCAGUUUGAAGCAGACACCAGUGCCUAAGGAUGAAUGGUUGUCUCUGGAAUCCCACCGCAUCAAGUCGACCUGAGCCCCAUCUGGGUAAUCAUUUGGCAGGCUGGGAACUGAUUGCAGCGCUCAUCUGUGACCUCCCGGCUCGAGGCAACACACCUGCCACUCUGCGGCGUUCACUGAGAUGGCAGACCUAUCUGUCGUUUCCAUCAAUCGCUGUGCUGACGGAGCAGCCUCGUGACUAUUGUGGGAGGGACAUUUCAAUCAUAUGUGAAACACCCUCUUUGAGGGUAUGUAACCACACUGUGUACCCCACUUGUUUGGAGUGCUCUGUUCCUUUGUGGAAAGACUCUCCAGGGUUAUAAUCCUCAGAUUUAAGCUCAGAAUAAACUC